This 72-nucleotide transfer RNA is filed under the name Cricetulus griseus (Chinese hamster). It matches the Rfam family "tRNA". Rfam says of the family: Transfer RNA (tRNA) molecules are approximately 80 nucleotides in length. Their secondary structure includes four short double-helical elements and three loops (D, anti-codon, and T loops). Further hydrogen bonds mediate the characteristic L-shaped molecular structure. tRNAs have two regions of fundamental functional importance: the anti-codon, which is responsible for specific mRNA codon recognition, and the 3' end, to which the tRNAs corresponding amino acid is attached (by aminoacyl-tRNA synthetases). tRNAs cope with the degeneracy of the genetic code in two manners: having more than one tRNA (with a specific anti-codon) for a particular amino acid; and 'wobble' base-pairing, i.e. permitting non-standard base-pairing at the 3rd anti-codon position. The record is from Rfam by way of RNAcentral. Lineage: Eukaryota; Metazoa; Chordata; Mammalia; Rodentia; Cricetidae.
GGAGGUGUGGCUAGUUGGUAGAGCACCUGCCUGACAUGCACAAAGCCUUGGGUUUCAUUCCCAGUACCUCAC